Molecule: ribosomal RNA, 253 nt
Filed under: uncultured bacterium
Lineage: Bacteria
Description: partial 16S ribosomal RNA
Rfam family: Bacterial small subunit ribosomal RNA
Source: RNAcentral
UACGUAGGGCGCAAGCGUUGUCCGGAAUUAUUGGGCGUAAAGAGCUCGUAGGCGGCUUGUCGCGUCGGAUGUGAAAGCCCGGGGCUUAACCCCGGGUCUGCAUUCGAUACGGGCAGGCUAGAGUUCGGUAGGGGAGAUCGGAAUUCCUGGUGUAGCGGUGAAAUGCGCAGAUAUCAGGAGGAACACCAGUGGCGAAGGCGAUCACCUGGGGUUGUUCUGACGCUGAGGAGCGAAAGCUAGGGGAGCAAACGGG